AGUGAACGCUGGCGGUAGGCCUAACACAUGCAAGUCGAACGGCAGCACAGUAAGAGCUUGCUCUUACGGGUGGCGAGUGGCGGACGGGUGAGGAAUACAUCGGAAUCUACUUUUUCGUGGGGGAUAACGUAGGGAAACUUACGCUAAUACCGCAUACGACCUACGUGUGAAAGCAGGGGAUCUUCGGACCUUGCGCGAUUGAAUGAGCCGAUGUCGGAUUAGCUAGUUGGCGGGGUAAAGGCCCACCAAGGCGACGAUCCGUAGCUGGUCUGAGAGGAUGAUCAGCCACACUGGAACUGAGACACGGUCCAGACUCCUACAGGAGGCAGCAGUGGGGAAUAUUGGACAAUGGGCGCAAGCCUGAUCCAGCCAUACCGCGUGGGUGAAGAAGGCCUUCGGGUUGUAAAGCCCUUUUGUUGGGAAAGAAAAGCAGCAGGUUAAUACCCCGCUGUUCUGACGGUACCCAAAGAAUAAGCACCGGCUAACUUCGUG
This 492-nucleotide ribosomal RNA is filed under the name uncultured bacterium. RNAcentral describes it as "partial 16S ribosomal RNA". It matches the Rfam family "Bacterial small subunit ribosomal RNA", at positions 29 to 507 of the family's 1533-position model. The record is from RNAcentral.